CCUACGUGUGGCAGCAGUGAGGAAUAUUGGUCAAUGGACGAGAGUCUGAACCAGCCAAGUAGCGUGAAGGAUGAAUGCCCUAUGGGUUGUAAACUUCUUUUAUAUGGGAAUAAAACGUUCCACGUGUGGGAUUUUGUAUGUCCCAUCUGCAUAAGGAUCGGCUAACUCCGUGCUAGCAGCCGCGGUAAUACGGUGGAUCCGAGCGUUAUCCGGAUUUAUCGGGUUUAAAGGGAGCGUAGGUGGAUUGUUAAGUCAGUUGUGAAAGUUUGCGGCUCAAACGUAAAAUUGCAGUUGAAACUGGCAGUCUUGAGUACAGUAGAGGUGGGCGGAAUUCGUGGUGUAGCGGUGAAAUGCUUAGAUAUCACGAAGAACUCCGAUUGCGAAGGCAGUUCACUGGACUGCAACUGACACUGAGGCUCGAAAGUGUGGGUAUCAAACAGGAUUAGAUACCCCGGUAGUC
Molecule: ribosomal RNA, 460 nt
Filed under: uncultured bacterium
Lineage: Bacteria
Description: partial 16S ribosomal RNA
Rfam family: Bacterial small subunit ribosomal RNA
Source: RNAcentral